This 510-nucleotide ribosomal RNA is filed under the name uncultured bacterium. RNAcentral describes it as "bacterial SSU rRNA". It matches the Rfam family "Bacterial small subunit ribosomal RNA", at positions 28 to 533 of the family's 1533-position model. The record is from RNAcentral.
GAUGAACGCUAGCGGCAGGCCUAAUACAUGCAAGUCGAACGGAUAUAUGUUUUUCGGAAUAUAUAUUAGUGGCGCACGGGUGAGUAACACGUACAUAACCUGCCCUCAAGCGGGGGAUAGCCUUGGGAAACUGAGAGUAAUACCCCAUAGAAUUAUUGGACGGCAUCGUUUGAUAAUUAAAACUACGGUGUUUGGGGAUAGAUGUGCGUCUGAUUAGCUAGUUGGUGAGGUAACUGCUCACCAAGGCGACGAUCAGUAGGGGGGCGUGAGAGCGUGGCCCCCCCACACGGGUACUGAGACACGGACCCGACUCCUACGGGAGGCAGCAGUAAGGAAUAUUGGUCAAUGGAGGGAACUCUGAACCAGCCAUGCCGCGUGAAGGAUGACGGCCCUCUGGGUUGUAAACUUCUUUUGUAUGGGGCGAAAAAAGGGAUUUAUCCUCGACUGACGGUACCAUAAGAAUAAGCACCGGCUAACUCCGUGCCAGCAGACGCGGUAAAGUAGUCGUGU